Molecule: ribosomal RNA, 253 nt
Filed under: uncultured bacterium
Lineage: Bacteria
Description: partial 16S ribosomal RNA
Rfam family: Bacterial small subunit ribosomal RNA
Source: RNAcentral
GACAGAGGGUGCAAACGUUGUUCGGAAUUACUGGGCGUAAAGCGAGUGUAGGCGGCUUGGCAAGUCGGAUGUGAAAGCCCCGGGUUCAACCCGGGAAGUGCACUCGAUACUGCUUAGCUUGAGUGUCGGAGAGGUUGGUGGAAUUCUCGGUGUAGAGGUGAAAUUCGUAGAUAUCGAGAGGAACAUCGGCGGCGAAGGCGGCCAACUGGACGAACACUGACGCUGAGACUCGAAAGCGUGGGGAGCAAACAGG